Long non-coding RNA from Cydia amplana, 353 nucleotides. RefSeq lists it as uncharacterized. The transcript is spliced from 2 exons. Lineage: Eukaryota; Metazoa; Arthropoda; Insecta; Lepidoptera; Tortricidae. The record is from RefSeq and is a predicted model, not a curated record.
UCUGUCUGUCCGUCCGUAUGUCACAGCCACUUUUCUCCGAAACUAUAAGAACUAUACUGUUGAAACUUGGUAAGUAGAUGUAUUCUGUGAACCGCAUUAAGAUGUUCACACAAAAAUAGAAAAAAAACAAUAAAUUUUUGGGUCUUCAAAAAUGAUAUUGAGGUUUCUAACAUCAUUUUUUUCUAAACUGAAUAGUUUGCGCGAGAGACACUUCCAAAGUGGUAAAAUGUGUCCCCCCCCCCCCCUGUAACUUCUAAAAUAAGAGAAUGAUAAAACAAAAAAAAAAUAUAUGAUGUACAUUACCAUGCAAACUUCCACCGAAAAUUGGUUUGAACAAGAUCUAGUAAGUAGUU